This 312-nucleotide small nuclear RNA is filed under the name Octodon degus (degu). RNAcentral describes it as "7SK RNA (ENSODEG00000024508.1)". It matches the Rfam family "7SK RNA", at positions 1 to 279 of the family's 331-position model. From Rfam's summary of the family: 7SK was discovered as an abundant small nuclear RNA in the mid-70s but a possible function has only recently been suggested. Lineage: Eukaryota; Metazoa; Chordata; Mammalia; Rodentia; Octodontidae. The record is from RNAcentral.
GGAUGUGAGGGCAAUUUGGCAGUGACAUCUGUCACCGCAUUGAUUGCCAGGGUUGAUUCAGCUGAUCUAGCUGGCUAGGAGUGUGUACCCUUCCUCUCUCAACAAUCCAUGUGCAUCCCUCCCAAAGCUGCACACUCGGUUGAAGAGGACAACCACCCCCAGUAGAGGAGGAGUAUUCCUCUGUCAAGGAUAUACAAGUAGUUGUGCUCCCCUGCUAGAACCUCCAAACAUUCACUCUAGAAUUUGCAAUUACUCCUAUCCCUAACAGUACUUUUUAAAAAUGUAUUUAGCACAGGGUUUACAGGGUUUCAU